UUAAUAAUAAACUCUUAUUAAAUAUUGCCGGCCUUUCCUACACGGUUCUGUAUAUUAUUAAGAAUUUAUUUGGUAUUUAGAUCCUUGGCUACAUGGGCUCUAUAAUAUUUGCUUGCACACACACCAAUACAUACCAAGUUGCGGCACAUGGUUAUAAUAUUCAAAAAGUAUAAGUCGUAGAUACUAACUAGUUACCUAUUUAUUAAGAUUGGCAUUUCUUAUAAAAUUUAAUAUUUCGUUUAUUUUAAUGCUAUUUAUAGGCAUUUGUAGUAUUUGUUUUUGUUUAGUUUUUUAUUAUAAAUAUAAAUAAUUUUUUUUGGCUAAGUCAAAAUUCUUGAAAAUGUACCUAAUACUAAGUUCCUCAUAAGUUAUUCUUAUAAUGAUUAAAAAAUUAUAAGAAUACAAAGGCACAAUUUUUUAUUGGCAUUUGAAAUUCAAAUGUUGACAACGAUUUUUUAAAAUCAUGAAUAUUUAUAAAUUAUUUUAUAGAUAAAAUUUUUAAAAAAAUUUGUGAAGUAGCUAUAAGAAUUGAAAAUGUAAUACAAGAUUUUCCAUAAGUUUGGCUUACAACAAGUAUAAAAGAACUUGAAUGUUCGGUUAGGUUAGGUUGGUCAAUUUAAAAAAUCUUAUCCUUAAUUUAAAUUUUUAUUCACUCGUUAAAUAAUGAUUUACUAUUAAUUAAUUUUAGAUUUCUGUUAUAGACUUAUAAUUAAAAAUUACUAUUCGUAGAAACUUGAAACAUACACCAGUUGUUUAAAUUGGCAUUUUCUGUAAAUGAUUUACUUUAGAGGUACUCAGGUCAUGAAAACAUAAACCUUCUUUUCACCACCCACUUUAAAAUAUAAUAUAUUUAUACAUUAUAUUCUAGGCUAACAAAUCAUCUCCGUUCAGAAUCGUUUUUCGUGUACAAUGAUACCAUUGAUACCUAUUAUUGAGUUCAAAUUUAAUACUUCUAUAUAUAAUUGUGAACAACACGAUACCUAAUAUACAACAGAGCGGUGGCCACUUGACCACGCUUUUUUAUACUUUAUAAUAUUAUUAAUAUUCUCAUUAAUUAGUUACUGCUUAUGUCCUAUAUUAUAAUUAAUAAUUUGUAAUAUACACUAUACUAAGUAUUUAAAUAUUUAAUCCAUAUUUAAAUGACAAACACGUCGUCUAUAGCAACGUUGACUGUUCUGAAGUGCUGGCCAUUUGACCAGGGUGUUUGCAGCCACCAUUACCUUCCAACGUUAAAGUUAUUGUUAAUGAAUAAUGAUUGUAACAUUGUUAAAAUAACUAAAUGAAUUGUUGUUUUUGCCAUAUUUUAUCGUUAAUUUGACAUAAUAUACCUAAUUAGGCCAGGUGGUUGGGCAAUGUGCCCCCCCUCCAGAAAAAAAUGUCGAGCUAUGAUAGCUUAAUUAGGUAUUAAUAAUCAAUAGGUAGGUAGUAAUAAUUAAUUAAAAAAUAUUUUAAAAAUGUGUUAUAUUAUAAUAUUAUAAUUUGUUAAAAAUCUACAAAAUAUACAAAACAUAAUAUUAUAAUAAUAUAUAACAAUACAAGUAUGAAUUGUUCCAGCACAUGCCUCGGCCGACGGAGCACCUUGAUUAUGUAUCGCUUUAAUUUUUUCGCUUUUCGUCGACAGAUCCUAUAGACCGUCGGCUGGCGCGGCUGGCGCGGCUGGCGCGGCUGGCGCGGCAGGGGCGGCUGGGGCGGCUGGGGCGGCUGGGGCGGCUGGGGCGGCGUUUGCAGUCUUGCAGGAGGAAUAAUUGGCAUCCGUCUUUGUCUGGGCCGCCUGAGGAGAUGAGGAUCAUUCAAAAACGGUUCCGGUUGAAUACAGAACAGAGCCGGAUAGAAAUGAUGACACGAAACGUUUACUUGGUCUUCGAGCAGCGUAGUACAGACUAAACACGUGUUUGGGGUAGAAAUUUUCUCGUCCGUUGGUGUAGACGCCUGACGACCGGCUUGCAGAACUGAAUAGUGAAUACUGAUUCCAUGGAUUCAAUGCUUACUUAACAGAGUCCAAUAUUUGCUCCAAAAGGGACCAUGAUGCUGCUGAUUAUAGAUUUAACAAGUCAGUCAAUCACGCAUUAAUCAUGGUAGCUGCCACAGCAGCUGCAAAGGCAGCAGCCAUGGCCAAAGGCAAACGACUGGAAGCCGAGGAUGCUUAGGCACCUGCAACAGCACCAGCACCGGACAGUGGUGCAAAUAAUGCUGGGAAUGUAGUUGAUGACCAAGAAUAAGUAUUCAACUACUCACAUAAAUGUUUAUGUAUUACAUAAAAUUCAAAUUAUAUUGUUUUGUUUUAUAUUUUUUUUUUAGCCAAUAAACAUUUAUCAAAAUAUCAA
Long non-coding RNA from Aphis gossypii (cotton aphid), 2324 nucleotides. RefSeq lists it as uncharacterized. NCBI's taxonomy places the organism in Eukaryota, Metazoa, Arthropoda, Insecta, Hemiptera, Aphididae. The transcript has 4 exons. The record is from RefSeq and is a predicted model, not a curated record.